AAUCAACGCUGGCGGCGUGCCUCAGACAUGCAAGUCGAACGAUUAAAGCUCUCUUCGGAGAGUGUAUAGAGUGGCGCACGGGUGAGUAACACGUAAGUAAUCUACCCUCGAGUGGGGAAUAACAACCGGAAACGGUUGCUAAUACCGCAUAAUGCAGCGGCACCGCAAGGUGACAGUUGUUAAAGAUUUAUCGCUUGAGGAGGAGCUUGCGGCAGAUUAGCUAGUUGGUAGGGUAACGGCUUACCAAGGCUACGAUCUGUAACCGGUCUAAGAGGACGGUCGGUCACACUGACACUGAAUAACGGGUCAGACUCCUACGGGAGGCAGCAGUCGGGAAUUUUGGGCAAUGGGCGAAAGCCUGACCCAGCAACGCCGCGUGAAGGAUGAAGUAUUUCGGUAUGUAAACUUCGAAAGAAUAGGAAGAAUUAAUGACGGUACUAUUUAUUAAGGUCCGGCUAACUACGUGCCAGCAGCCGCGGUAAGGU
This 485-nucleotide ribosomal RNA is filed under the name uncultured bacterium. RNAcentral's name for it is "bacterial SSU rRNA". It matches the Rfam family "Bacterial small subunit ribosomal RNA", at positions 32 to 526 of the family's 1533-position model. The record is from RNAcentral.